CAUCCUAACUAGGAAAACAAGAACAAAGAGAAAGAAUUCGGCAGACAGAGUGGGAGGGUCGUCACACCUUUAAAAAGAGAAAGGUUGGGUUGUUAAUGCUGGGUUCAUUCUCCUGCCAAAUCAAAGUUAUCCAGCAAGCUCUUGAAUGAGGAUUGUUGCAGCAAGUCUAGCAGACAGUGCCGCCUGCUCGUAGUGGAAUUACUUUGACGGUUAAAUGGGCAAGGCGCUUUGGCUGACCAAAAACUAUACUGAAGAUGACACGAUCCCACCACCAGUGUAACGAGUUGGAAAGAAUACUGCCCUCCCAAACAUUGAGGCUGGAACCAAUAUGGCUGAAUGUCUCGACCAAGCAACUGAAUAUCUCUGCCAAGAACAAGAUACCUAACCCUUUGUUCUGACUCUGGGGACAAUCACCUCUACUCCCUGGAAUUCAUCAUGAAUGAGCAAGUGCUGGAGCAGGAGACUUUGAUUUACAAAUUCCUCUUGAAAAUGAACUUGUUGGGGGGGAGUAGUGUAAAGUGUUUACUUUUCUUCAGCCCCAUUACUCAGCUUUAAUUGGUAGGGCUGCUGUGAUUUUGAAAAGUAUGGUUGUGCUUCUAAAGUUUGUUCUUGUUUUAUAUUUUGCAUGACUUCAUUCUGUAGCUAAAAUGUAUAUCUUAAACAUAUUGUAUUUUCUACAAUUUGUUGUGAUUGGCCAUAUGUCAUUUUAAGAAUGAUGUGUUGUAACAGGUAUUUGUAAAUUAACACCUGUGCAAAAAGGUAAGAAUUAACCCACUGCUGGGUCAAAUGAAUAACAAUAAAACUGUAAAAAG
This is a long non-coding RNA of Oncorhynchus masou masou (cherry salmon), 812 nucleotides long. RefSeq lists it as uncharacterized. The transcript is spliced from 3 exons. The record is from RefSeq and is a predicted model, not a curated record. Lineage: Eukaryota; Metazoa; Chordata; Actinopteri; Salmoniformes; Salmonidae.